Molecule: long non-coding RNA, 188 nt
Organism: Acanthopagrus latus (yellowfin seabream)
Lineage: Eukaryota; Metazoa; Chordata; Actinopteri; Spariformes; Sparidae
Exons: 3
Source: RefSeq, a predicted model, not a curated record
GCCAAAGAUGGAUCGAUACAAGAAUCCCAAGUCACGCAAAGCAAUGCUGGAGUUGACAGUGGGGAAACUUUCGAGCUUCCUGAAGACAUGGAUGAACCAGACAGAAGGCCAUCAGAGGAAAAAACAGGAGAGACAGGGUCCUCCAAAAGAAAAAGGACGAAGGAGCGUUCUCGGUCUCCUCCAUAUUC